GGGCUUUCGAUGAAGUGCUUACUGCAUUUUUUCUUACACAUGUGUUUUUCUUUUUUUGAAAACUUUGCUUUGGUAGGCCUUCUAUAUGGGGCCUGCCAGAGAUUAAACUCAACCAAAUUUUAUUUAAUGUCAACCGAUUAUUUAAUAGUCAAAACUUUCAACAACGGAUCUCUUGGUUCUCGCAUCGAUGAAGAACGCAGCGAAAUGCGAUAAGUAAUAUGAAUUGCAGAUAUUCGUGAAUCAUCGAAUCUUUGAACGCACAUUGCGCCCUUUGGUAUUCCAAAGGGCAUGCCUGUUUGAGCGUCAUUUCUCCCUCAAACCCUCGGGUUUGGUGUUGAGCGAUACGCUGGGUUUGCUUGAAAGAAAGGCGGAGUAUAAACUAAUGGAUAGGUUUUUUCCACUCAUUGGUACAAACUCCAAAACUUCUUCCAAAUUCGACCUCAAAUCAGGUAGGACUACCCGCUGAACUUAAGCAUAUCAAAAGGCCGGAGGAA
This 494-nucleotide ribosomal RNA is filed under the name Lodderomyces parapsilosis. Its description in RNAcentral is "eukaryotic LSU rRNA". The stretch from base 153 to 306 matches the Rfam family "5.8S ribosomal RNA". The record is from RNAcentral. Lineage: Eukaryota; Fungi; Ascomycota; Pichiomycetes; Serinales; Debaryomycetaceae.